This is an unclassified non-coding RNA of Diuraphis noxia (Russian wheat aphid), 711 nucleotides long. The record is from RefSeq and is a predicted model, not a curated record. Lineage: Eukaryota; Metazoa; Arthropoda; Insecta; Hemiptera; Aphididae.
UUCCUUUAUAAACAAGUAGAACAUUUAUUAUCAUAUWACUCGWUUAGAAAAUAUUAUAAGUCUAUAUAAAAUAUAACAUAAUCAUAUACAGUAUUUAUUUAACCGUACGUAUUUGUAUUGCAUGAUCGCAUUAUUUACAACUAGAUAUGGAAUAAUGAAUCRGACAUCGUGUGUAUUAUUUGUAUAAAUGGACGACAACUGCAGGAAGAAGAAACGCGAGUUUUUUGAAGUUAAUGUCCAUGCUGUAACGGACACGCUAGACCUAUCUGUUUCGCCAUUUAUGGGGAUAAAAUGCCGUUCAUUACGUCGGAUGCAAGGACCUUGGGCGUUUCGAUCGAUACCCCGAAAUUAUAUGAACUUGCCAUACAACAUAACAACUUAUCAACAAUUGGUGGUGUAUGGAUCUUCGAAAGCAUGGCCGUCAUUUCUAAUACAGAACCUCAGUGAAAUAGUCGUCAGACCUCGACGGUCUGGGGGAUAUAAGUCACUUUGGAGACGGUCCAAAAAGUUCCUUAGAAACUGCGUCGCAAGYGUCAGAUGCCAAGUUUGUUUCUGCCUGUGAAUUUAUGACUCRUGGCCCCUAUGCAUAAACUAUCUACAGGAUGUUUUAUUGGUCAGUUGGAUAACCGGAUAACAAGAAUGUGCAGCCGCUGAAACGUUAGUGCCAUCUAUAUGUAGCUCGGCCGUCGUCUCGUCAGUGGUCUCUUAAAC